CGAAGCAGGCUCCAGGUUCUGAGCCAUCAGCCCAGAGCCCGACGCGGGGCUCGAACCCACGGACCGUGAGAUCGUGACCUGAGCUGAAGUCGGACGCUUAACUGACUGAGCCACCCAAGCGCCCCUCAAUUUUAAUUUUAGAGAGAAAGAGAGCACAUAAACAGGGGAGUGGGGCAAAGGGAGAGAGGCAGAAUCUUAAGCAGUCUCCACACUCAGCACAGAGCCCAACACGGGGCUCAAUCCCAUGACCCUGGGAUCAUGACCUGAGCCGAAAUCAAGAGUCGGAUGCCCAACGGACUGAGCCACCCAGGUGCCCCUCUGACGUCAUUCUUAGGUAGCUCUUGUCCCCUCUAAGACUAUAUAAAUCAUCGCUUGCAUUUUUUUCUGGUUUUGAUUUUAUAUGUAACUAAAAGAAUCUGAUUUUAUUUUUCAUCUAAGUGUUAAACCAUCUAACUCAGCAUUAUUCAUUGGGCGUCACUAUUUUCCUACUAUUUCGGUCUUCUAUUUUUAUCAUGCGUAGAUGAAAUACUCGUAUACAUGUGCAUCCUCGGACCUGGGUUUGGACUUUGUGGGUUAUUACAUUGUUCUGUCUAUCCCUGUGUCAGUAUUAUACAAAUUAGCUUAGCUAUACAACACCCUUUGACAUAAGAUGACCAGGUCCAUUCUCAUUAUUUUUAAAAGUAAUUUUUCUCACUGUUCUAGAAUGUUUAUACUUUCCUAACAGCCUGGGAAUCACUUGAUGAGCUCCUCAAAAGUCUUGGGAUCGCGUCUUUGGAAAACUCACAUCUCUCUGGGUGAGUGGGCGGGAGGUCAGGCAUGUGGGCGGCCAGGCAUCGGGCUUGCUCAAAACCCAGCUCAGGUGUUUCCUCCUCUUCUUGUGUUGACCCAGCCCUCCGGUCACAGAGUACCUUUGCUUGGCCUGAGGUUUCCACCUGACCUUCCGGCCCUGGCCUGGGCCCAGUCACUCACACCCGAAAUGCCAUGUUCUGGGAAAUCAUAAAAUGGCAGAAAGGCUGGUGGUGAAGGCACAGCACUAUUUCCUCAGAUCAAAGGGCCUGGAAACAUCCUGAAAACACUUUAUUCAGCCCUACAAACAGACUUACAAGUAGGAAUUAAGGAUUUCAUUCACUCAACUCUUUCAUUUACUUACUCCGUUCAUUGUGUCAAGGUACUAAAAUAUAUGAAAAGUACGAUUUUGCUCAGGCAGGGCCCUCACGAGUCCCUCUGUGGCUCAGAGUCAUUCAAGCCAGGCAGUCUGAGAGAGACCACACUGCUUAAGUAAAUGGGGGGCAAGGAGGUUAAUAUUCAAAGUGUCAUGGAUAAGGGUGGGCGACGAGCGCUGCAGUAACAACCCCCAAAUCUCACUCAGAGUCCAAGUGGAUCCAAGUGAUCCCCUUGGGUCAACAAGGAUAGUUGUUCUCCGUGCAUUCGCUCAGGCUUCCAGAAUGCUGGGUUGCACGACUUUACAUCCGCCAAUGCUUCUGUGAUCAUGGCGGCAGCAGAAGGGAGGCCAUUUGGGAAAUGGACACUGGUCCUCAUCUGUGUCUACCCAGAAGUGACGCAUGUCACAGACCUGCCUUCAUAGAGCCUCUUGUAUCGAAAUAUUGGUGAAAAUCAGUAAAAUCUACCCCAAAAUACCUGCUAGUAGCCAUUGACAGGCCUAAGAAUCGCAGACAACUUGCCUGAACGAUGAGUGUCUGAGUAGCCUGGGGACUGCACAGAAGACGGCUCCCUAUUGCCCCGGUUCACAGGUGUUAUUAUGGCCUAUUCAUUCUUAAUCUACUUAUAGAGCAUCUCGAUGGCCUGUUGCUGGGACACAAUUCUACAGCUUAUCUCUGAUGUCAUGGAUGUGCAGGGCUGCAGCGUCUCUGAGGGCAUAAGCAGCCAUCUCCACCUCUGUACCCAGUGCCUGGACAAAUAUUUGACCUAUAAAUUCGUAUUUUACUCCUCCUAAUAGAUACCUGGUUUCUCUGCUCUUGUGUCGAAGGCAGAGGCAACUGGAAAAGUCCAGCACACCAUUCACCUUGGGUUGAGGACAUCCAGAAGGAGUUUUGAACUGAUAUCAAGCAAGAGUUUCUAAUCUCCGUGUGGCGAUUUGUGUGACACACGUUUCCCCACGCUUGGGCAGUCAAGAGACUGGGAAGAAGAGGAAGCUGGUGUGUAAAGGAGGACGAAGCAAGGAUGCAGAGAGGGGUAGAAGCCAAGGAGACAGCUCGAUGUUGCCUGCGCUCCCCCCGACUCCCCUCCCCCAUCCUCCCUGGGCCAAUUUAGAGCUCUCUGCUCUUAGAAAAAAUACUUCUGGAGCGCCUGGAUGGCUCAGUCGGUUCAGCAUCCGACUUCGGCUCAGGUCAUGAUCUCAUGGUGUGUGAGUUCGAGCCCCACACCGGGCUCACUGCUGUCAGUGCAGAGCCUGCCUCAGAUCCUCUGUCCCCCUCCCCCGCUUGCACUCUCCCCCCCAAAUAAAAUAAACAUUUUUCAAAAAAAUAAACAACAAGAAAAAAAUGCUUCUCCUUCGCUGAAGCUGGAUCCAGUUGUUCUUAUUUGCAAUCAUAGUAAUAAUAAGAAUAAUUAAUAAAAGGCCUUUCUAAGCUCCCUCGGUGAGUGUGUCCGGUGUGGCCUUCCUGUGGAACUGACGUAUCGCAGAAGCCGCCAGGAGUGGGGGAGAAAGAUCUUGGCAGAGAGCCUGACCCGCCUGCUUUUGUUUUUAGGCAUCCUGUCCUAUCUACCAGAUGAGGCUGCGGGGGUGGUGGGCAGAGGACUGGGGGAUCCAUUCAGGAAGGGCCGGUCAGGGCAGAUCUCAUGGUCCCAGAAACAAGGGAGAGAGUGGUUGGCUUCCUGUGUAGGGAGGGGCGUCUGCUGCCCUCCCCUAGGAGCCUGUGCUCCACCCCAGAUGUCAUUCCAGUUUCUUUACACGUUUUUACGGUACCUGUCACGAUGAGCACGGGGUGAUGUAUGGAACUGUUGAAUUACUUACUAUACUAUAUACCUGAAACUAAUAUAACACUGCACGUUAACUAAUUGGAAUUAAAAUAAAUACUUCAUUAAAAAAAAAAAAAAGAAAAGAAAAGAAGGGGCACCUGGGUGGCCCAGUCGCUUAAGCGUCUGACUCUCGAUACAGGCUCAGGUCGUGAUCUCGUGGUUUGUGGGAUGGAGCCCCAAGUUGGGCUCUGCUGACAGUGCAGAGGCUGCUUGGGAUUCUCUCUCUCUCUCCUCUCUCUGCCCCUCCCCCGUUCUCAUUCUCUCUCUC
Long non-coding RNA from Panthera uncia (snow leopard), 3247 nucleotides. RefSeq lists it as uncharacterized. Lineage: Eukaryota; Metazoa; Chordata; Mammalia; Carnivora; Felidae. The record is from RefSeq and is a predicted model, not a curated record. The transcript is spliced from 2 exons.